RNAcentral lists this long non-coding RNA (332 nucleotides) under Phoenix dactylifera (date palm). Its description in RNAcentral is "long non-coding RNA (PDAC_LNC011838)". The record is from RNAcentral. Lineage: Eukaryota; Viridiplantae; Streptophyta; Magnoliopsida; Arecales; Arecaceae.
UAUUUUUUCCCCUAUCAUCUAAUUCAUAAUAAAAGGUGAAAUAGAGGAAGAACCCCUAUGGAAAUCGACCUAAUCCAGAUCCAAUAGGAAUUAAAUCAAGAUAUCCAAUUGAUAACAAUAUGCUGCAUCGAAUUGGAUAUGGAAUCCGAUUCCAUAUAUCGGAUUAGAUAAUGAAUCUAACUUGGGAAUAUAUAAUAUCCCAUAUCAAUUUGUUUCUUCUAUUUUGUUUGUGUAUUUUCUCAUUUUCUAUUGAAUCGGAUUCAAAAAAAAUUCCUUAAAGUGGAAACCCAUACAAAAGAUGACUGAACUUAUAGACAUAAAGGAUAUAGAUC